RNAcentral lists this ribosomal RNA (484 nucleotides) under uncultured bacterium. Its description in RNAcentral is "partial 16S ribosomal RNA". It matches the Rfam family "Bacterial small subunit ribosomal RNA", at positions 28 to 507 of the family's 1533-position model. The record is from RNAcentral.
AUUGAACGCUGGCGGCAUGCUUUACACAUGCAAGUCGAACGGCAGCGCGGGCUUCGGCCUGGCUGCGAGUGGCGAACGGGUGAGUAAUGCAUCGGAACGUGCCCAGUAGUGGGGGAUAGCCCGGCGAAAGCCGGAUUAAUACCGCAUACGACCUGAGGGUGAAAGCGGGGGACCGAAAGGCCUCGCGCUAUUGGAGCGGCCGAUGUCGGAUUAGCUAGUUGGUGGGGUAAAGGCUUACCAAGGCGACGAUCCGUAGCUGGUCUGAGAGGACGACCAGCCACACUGCGACUGAGACACGGCCCAGACUCCUACGGGAGGCAGCAGUGGGGAAUUUUGGACAAUGGGGGCAACCCUGAUCCAGCCCUGCCGCGUGCGGGAAGAAGGCCUUCGGGUUGUAAACCGCUUUUGUUCGGGAAGAAAUACUCUGGGCUAAUACCCCGGGGGGAUGACGGUACCGGAAGAAUAAGCACCGGCUAACUACGUG